GAUGAACGCUGACAGAAUGCUUAACACAUGCAAGUCCACUUGAAUUUGGGUUUUUAACUUAGGUUUGGGUGGCGGACGGGUGAGUAACGCGUAAAGAACUUGCCUCACAGCUAGGGACAACAUUUGUAAACGAAUGCUAAUACCUAAUAUUAUGAUAAUAGGGCAUCCUAUAAUUAUGAAAGCUAUAAGCGCUGUGAGAGAGCUUUGCGUCCCAUUAGCUAGUUGGAGAGGUAACGGCUCACCAAGGCGAUGAUGGGUAGCCGGCCUGAGAGGGUGAUCGGCCACAAGGGGAAUGAGACACGGCCCUUACUCAUACGGGAGGCAGCAGUGGGGAAUAUUGGACAAUGGACCGAGAGUCUGAUCCAGCAAUUCUGUGUGCACGAUGAAGUUUGUCGGAAUGUAAAGUGCUUUCAGUUGGGAAGAAACAAAUGACGGUACCAACAGAAGAAGUGACGGCUAAAUACGUG
This 467-nucleotide ribosomal RNA is filed under the name uncultured bacterium. RNAcentral describes it as "partial 16S ribosomal RNA". It matches the Rfam family "Bacterial small subunit ribosomal RNA", at positions 28 to 507 of the family's 1533-position model. The record is from RNAcentral.